AGUGAACGCUGGCGGUAGGCCUAACACAUGCAAGUCGAACGGCAGCACAGUAAGAGCUUGCUCUUACGGGUGGCGAGUGGCGGACGGGUGAGGAAUACAUCGGAAUCUACUUUUUCGUGGGGGAUAACGUAGGGAAACUUACGCUAAUACCGCAUACGACCUACGGGUGAAAGCAGGGGAUCUUCGGACCUUGCGCGAUUGAAUGAGCCGAUGUCGGAUUAGCUAGUUGGCGGGGUAAAGGCCCACCAAGGCGACGAUCCGUAGCUGGUCUGAGAGGAUGAUCAGCCACACUGGAACUGAGACACGGUCCAGACUCCUACGAGAGGCAGCAGUGGGGAAUAUUAGACAAUGGGCGCAAGCCUGAUCCAGCCAUACCGCGUGGGUGAAGACGGCCUUCGGGUUGUAAAGCCCUUUUGUUGGGAAAGAAAAGCAGCAGGUUAAUACCCCGCUGUUCUGACGGUACCCAAAGAAUAAGCACCGGCUAACUUCGUG
Molecule: ribosomal RNA, 492 nt
Filed under: uncultured bacterium
Lineage: Bacteria
Description: partial 16S ribosomal RNA
Rfam family: Bacterial small subunit ribosomal RNA
Source: RNAcentral